UAUAAACAUCAUCUAAGAGGAUGAAGAAAUGAAAUAUGAAGAAAAAAUAUGACAAUGACAAAUAUAAUGCCAAUGACACUGAAGCUGAGAGCUGAAUAGCAAGAAGCAGCAAGGCAUGGAAGAGCCCAAGUAAGAAGGAGCCCAGAAUCUGACGUCACCUUUUCUCAAGUUAUUCAAUUCAAAUACCUUCCAAUUGCAUAUAUCUAUUACCCAUAGCCCUCUACUGCCUGUGAGACUGAAAAGGGACAAAAAGACAACACAUUGGAGGCCGAGGAGGGCAGAUCACCUGAGGUCAGGAGUUCGAGAGCAGCCUUACCAACAUGGUGAAGCCCCAUCUCUAAUAAAAAUACACAAAUUAGCCAGGCAUGGUGGCACAGGCCUGUAAUCCCAGCUACUUGGGAGGCUGAGGCAGGAGAAUCUCUUCAACCUGGGAGGCGGAAGUUGCAGUGAGCCAAGACCGCAACAAUGCACUCCAGCCUGGACAACAAGACUGAAACUCCAUCUCAAAAAAAAAAAAAAAAAAAUACAACACAAUGUUAAAAGUGGCCCCAUCCUUCCCUUUACUGUUCAGGAUUUAUCACAGGGGCUAAAAUAGGUACAGAAUAUGAUAGUAAAGAAAUCAAAUCCCUUUGGCAUGAUUACAGAGUUGAAUCAACCAAGAUAAAGAAGAAUAUGAUGAAAAGAAGUUGAGAAUUUUACCUCUAAAUUCAUUAUCAUACUAUAAACCAGAGAUUUGACCUAGAGAUGAUGCACUUUUUUCUUGUCCUUAAAAUGCUUUUUCUUUGAUUAUCAUUUUCAGAAAUGCUGUAUAAGAUUUCCACACCCAUGGCACUACAAUAGACUAUGUAGAAGUUGGACAAGAUAUACAGCUUCUAGUAUUCUAUAUGCUAAGACUGCAGUGAACUUCUCCAUUGAAUU
Molecule: long non-coding RNA, 918 nt
Filed under: Pan troglodytes (chimpanzee)
Lineage: Eukaryota; Metazoa; Chordata; Mammalia; Primates; Hominidae
Description: long non-coding RNA NONPTRT000380
Source: RNAcentral